RNAcentral lists this ribosomal RNA (465 nucleotides) under uncultured bacterium. Its description in RNAcentral is "partial 16S ribosomal RNA". It matches the Rfam family "Bacterial small subunit ribosomal RNA", at positions 338 to 795 of the family's 1533-position model. The record is from RNAcentral.
CCUACGGGGGGCUGCAGUGGGGAAUUUUGGACAAUGGGCGCAAGCCUGAUCCAGCUAUUCCGCGUGUGGGAAGACGGCCUUCGGGUUGUAAACCACUUUUGUAGAGAACGAAAAGUCUGUUGAGAAUACCGAUAGAUGAUGACGGUACUCUAAGAAUAAGCACCGGCUAACUACGUGCCAGCAGCCGCGGUAAUACGUAGGGUGCGAGCGUUAAACGGAAUUACUGGGCGUAAAGGGUGGGUAGGCGGUUUUGCAAGUUGGAUGUGAAAGCCCCGGGCUUAACCUGGGAAAGCCAUACAUGACUGCAAGACUAGAGUGCGUCAGAGGUGGGUGGAAUUCCAAGUGUAGCAGUGAAAUGCGUAGAUAUUUGGAAGAACACCGAUGGCGAAGGCAGCCCCCUGGGACGCAACUGACGCUCAUACACGAAAGCGUGGGGAGCAAACAGGAUUAGAUACCCCAGUAGUC